RNA transcript from Hipposideros armiger (great roundleaf bat), 1190 nucleotides. It is a transcript of the gene named translation initiation factor IF-2-like, with no coding region annotated. The record is from RefSeq and is a predicted model, not a curated record. NCBI's taxonomy places the organism in Eukaryota, Metazoa, Chordata, Mammalia, Chiroptera, Hipposideridae. The transcript has 4 exons.
GGGAGGGAGGGAGGAGGCGGGGAGCACGCGGGGGCCGGCCCGGAGCCAAAGUCAAGUCCCCGCGCCUCCGGGCGGAACCCGGAGAGCGCUGGUCUGGUGGCAGGAGGCUGCGGGGCGCGCGAGGCGGCCGAGCCGCGGGGGGAGCGCCUCCCCAGUCCCGGGCCGGUCCCAGCCGCCGGCGGGAGAGCCUGCGGGGCCCGCGGCGAUCCGGCUCGCUGAGUCGCGCUGGCGGCGUGGUGCUCGCCCUUCCCACGCCCUUUUGCAACAGAUCCGACCUCCCGGGCUUCCUCUGCCCUCCGGGCCUCAGCCGAAAGGCUCUAGGACGGGCCUGGGCUCCGCUUCCACACGCCGCAGUGUCCCGCUGCGAGCGCGUUCCAGACACUCUCCCCUGGAAUGCUAGCCCCACGUUUACGAGGUGAAGACACUGAGACCCAGAGAGCUUCAGGAGCUGAUCCUGCCGAGCAGCGCAUGAUAUCGGGGAACGCUAUCAUCGUACCUAGAGCGUUUAAAGAAUCCACACUGGAGAAGGGGAAAGAGAAACAGAGACAAAGACCACAGUCAUUCUCCAGCUGGUAUUAGUAAUAAGGGACGACCAGCUCGGAGCUGCCAUCCCCAGAGCUCUGGGAAGCCUUGUCUCAUUCAUUCAUCUUGUCACAGUAACUGUUACUGAUGGACCAUGACAGGUUAAGCUCUAAAAAUUCAGUGAUUCUCAGUUGCUGAUUUAAAAUUACAGAAAGCUAUGGCAGCUGCCUUCAGUUGGAGAGUUGGAGAAAGGAUUCUCUAGGAGAGUGUGAUUUAGUUGACAGUCCCUUAUGAUGCCUUAUGGAUAUGACCAUGACAGAUGGGCUGCAGUAACAUGCAAGGAUAAUAUAAGGCCACAUAAGGGUGACCAUAUGUCUAGUGAGCCUGGGACAGUCCAGGUUUAUAACACUGGUCCCAGCAACCUGCCCCAUUUAGCAUCUGCCACAGACAAAUAUAUUCUUGUUUGGAUGAUACAUUGUAUGCGUCAGAAACCAAAGUGAUCAGGAAGCUCCCUGGAUUUUCAGCUGCCUACAGGACUGAAGCCAAACUAUUUCCAUAAAUAGAUCAGUGGAUCAACUUAAGAAGAGUAAUUCAGGCCGGCCGAGUGGCUCAGUUGGUUAAGAGCUUGCUCAAGAGUGGGAGCUCUGAGCAGCAGGGUCGCCGAUUUG